GCAGUAGCCACGGUAAUACGUAGGUGGCAAGCGUUGUCCGGAAUUAUUGGGCGUAAAGGGCUCGCAGGCGGUUUCUUAAGUCUGAUGUGAAAGCCCCCGGCUCAACCGGGGAGGGUCAUUGGAAACUGGGAAACUUGAGUGCAGAAGAGGAGAGUGGAAUUCCACGUGUAGCGGUGAAAUGCGUAGAGAUGUGGAGGAACACCAGUGGCGAGGGCGACUCUCUGGUCUGUAACUGACGCUGAGGAGCGAAAGCGUGGGGAGCGAACAGGAUUAGAUACCCCAGUAGUCCCUGUCUCUUAUAA
RNAcentral lists this ribosomal RNA (302 nucleotides) under uncultured bacterium. RNAcentral describes it as "partial 16S ribosomal RNA". It matches the Rfam family "Bacterial small subunit ribosomal RNA", at positions 508 to 809 of the family's 1533-position model. The record is from RNAcentral.